CCUACGGGGGGCUGCAGUGGGGAAUAUUGCACAAUGGGCGCAAGCCUGAUGCAGCCAUGCCGCGUGUGUGAAGAAGGCCUUAGGGUUGUAAAGCACUUUCAGCGAGGAGGAAGGCAUCACACUUAAUACGUGUGGUGAUUGACGUUACUCGCAGAAGAAGCACCGGCUAACUCCGUGCCAGCAGCCGCGGUAAUACGGAGGGUGCAAGCGUUAAUCGGAAUUACUGGGCGUAAAGCGCACGCAGGCGGUUUGUUAGGUCAGAUGUGAAAGCCCCGGGCUUAACGUGGGAACUGCAUUUGAAACUGGCAAGCUAGAGGCUUGUAGAGGGGGGUAGAAUUCCAGGGGUGGCGGUGAAAUGCGUAGAGAUCUGGAGGAAUACCGGUGGCGAAGGCGGCCCCCGGGACAAAGCCUGACGCUCAGGUGCGAAAGCGGGGGGAGCAAACAGGAUGAGAUACCCUAGUAUC
This 464-nucleotide ribosomal RNA is filed under the name uncultured Rahnella sp. Its description in RNAcentral is "bacterial SSU rRNA". It matches the Rfam family "Bacterial small subunit ribosomal RNA", at positions 338 to 794 of the family's 1533-position model. Lineage: Bacteria; Pseudomonadati; Pseudomonadota; Gammaproteobacteria; Enterobacterales; Yersiniaceae. The record is from RNAcentral.